This 332-nucleotide unclassified non-coding RNA is filed under the name soil metagenome. RNAcentral's name for it is "partial contains 5.8S ribosomal RNA, internal transcribed spacer 2, and large subunit ribosomal RNA". The stretch from base 5 to 121 matches the Rfam family "5.8S ribosomal RNA", at positions 38 to 154 of the family's 154-position model. The record is from RNAcentral.
GAUGGAAGAACGCAGCGAAAUGCGAUACGUAAUGUGAAUUGCAGAUUUCAGUGAAUCAUCGAAUCUUUGAACGCACAUUGCGCCCGCCAGUAUUCUGGCGGGCAUGCCUGUUCGAGCGUCAUUUCAACCAUCAAGCGCCUCGCUUGUGUUGGGGCCCUGCGGCUGCCGCAGGCCCCUAAAUCCAGUGGCGGGCUCGUCGUCGUACCGAGUGCAGUAAACAUCCUCGCUCAGGGAACCCGACGGGUGCCGGCCGUGAAACCCCCCCUCCUCAAGGUUGACCUCGGAUCAGGUAGGAAUACCCGCUGAACUUAAGCAUAUCAAUAAGCGGAGGA